GCAGCAGGCGCGAAACCUUUACACUGCACGACAGUGCGAUAGGGGGACUCCGAGUGCGAGGGCAUAUAGCCCUCGCUUUUCUGAACCGUAAGGUGGUUCAGGAACAAGGACUGGGCAAGACCGGUGCCAGCCGCCGCGGUAAUACCGGCAGUCCAAGUGAUGGCCGAUAUUAUUGGGCCUAAAGCGUCCGUAGCCGGCCGGACAAGUCCGUUGGGAAAUCGACGCGCUCAACGCGUCGGCGUCCAGCGGAAACUGUCCGGCUUGGGGCCGGAAGACCUGAGGGGUACGUCCGGGGUAGGAGUGAAAUCCUGUAAUCCUGGACGGACCACCAAUGGGGAAACCACCUCAGGAAGACGGACCCGACGGUGAGGGACGAAAGCUAGGGUCUCGAACCGGAUUAGAUACCCGGGUAGUCCUAGCUGUAAACGAUGCUCGCUAGGUGUGCCGUAGGCUACGAGCCUGCGCUGCGCCCUAGGGAAGCCGAGAAGCGAGCCGCCUGGGAAGUACGUCUGCAAGGAUGAAACUUAAAGGAAUUGGCGGGGGAGCACCACAACCGGAGGAGCCUGCGGUUUAAUUGGAUUCAACGCCGG
This 590-nucleotide ribosomal RNA is filed under the name uncultured haloarchaeon. RNAcentral describes it as "bacterial SSU rRNA". It matches the Rfam family "Archaeal small subunit ribosomal RNA", at positions 332 to 921 of the family's 1478-position model. The record is from RNAcentral. Lineage: Archaea; Methanobacteriati; Methanobacteriota; Halobacteria; Halobacteriales; Halobacteriaceae.